Polistes dominula (European paper wasp) is the source of this 574-nucleotide long non-coding RNA. The record is from RefSeq and is a predicted model, not a curated record. Lineage: Eukaryota; Metazoa; Arthropoda; Insecta; Hymenoptera; Vespidae.
UUCUUAGUCUUUCCGUAAAACGAGUUUUGGGACACCCUGUAUUUUGCAAUAAGUGGUGUGUUAUAAUCUUUAGAAGAAAUAUUGCUUCGUUAUAUUUACCUCUUUCUCUAUCUCGAACUUUCUUUAAUUUCAAUUUAAAAGGUCACGAACGGGAUUUUCGCGAGAGCUAGUACGUGCAUGUAUAAUACGCCCGCGUGUAUAUAUAUAUAAUUAUACAGAUAGAUAUAAACACACACGCACACACAAACAGAUACGUAUGUAAGUUGCAUGUAAAUCGGUCGAACUGACGGACGGGUGAAGGUCGUUUCAUAGUGAAAGGCACAACGUCGGCUUCAUUCGUUAAUACAAUACCAUGGAAACACCAUGGCAAAUCAACGAUGCGGAAAAAAGGAAGCCGCCUAUGUAUUCGUCAAGAAGGCAAAUUCGAGAAGUCUGUGUUCGUUAAAACGCGAACGAAUAUUGGCGGUUGGCGACCCACGUUCACUUUCAUCGGAGAUAAUAGCGGAAGGAGUUGAGUGUUCCCGUAAAUUCAACGAAGCGACCAUUUUCUUUUUAUGUCUCUAACAUCAAUACA